This 109-nucleotide ribosomal RNA is filed under the name uncultured bacterium. Its description in RNAcentral is "partial 16S ribosomal RNA". It matches the Rfam family "Bacterial small subunit ribosomal RNA", at positions 355 to 461 of the family's 1533-position model. The record is from RNAcentral.
UGAGGAAUAUUGGUCAAUGGGCGGGGAGCCUGAACCAGCCAAGCCGCGUGAGGGAAGAAGGUACAGCGUAUCGUAAACCUCUUUUGUCAGGGAACAAAGGCGGGGACUA